Molecule: ribosomal RNA, 220 nt
Filed under: uncultured bacterium
Lineage: Bacteria
Description: partial 16S ribosomal RNA
Rfam family: Bacterial small subunit ribosomal RNA
Source: RNAcentral
CGUGAACAAUCUGUCCUCACGUUCCGGAUAAUUGGUCGAAAGACCUUGUAAUACGGGCGAGGGUCCCCUGAUGGCAUCUUCGGGGGAAGGAAAGCGCAAGCUGCGCGAGGAGGAGUUCGCGGCCUAUCAGUUAGUUGGUGAGGUAAUGGCUCACCAAGACGACGACGGGUAGCUGGUCUGAGAGGAUGGUCAGCCACAUUGGAACUGAGACACUGUCCAG